This 782-nucleotide ribosomal RNA is filed under the name uncultured bacterium. RNAcentral describes it as "partial 16S ribosomal RNA". It matches the Rfam family "Bacterial small subunit ribosomal RNA", at positions 8 to 796 of the family's 1533-position model. The record is from RNAcentral.
AGAGUUUGAUCCUGGCUCAGGAUGAACGCUGGCAGUGUGCCUAAGACAUGCAAGUCGAACGAAGCGCUUGAGUGGAACCCUUCGGGGGGAAGCUUGAGUGACUUAGUGGCGAACGGGUGAGUAACACGUGGGUGACCUGCCCCGAAGUGGGGGAUAACAGUUGGAAACGAUUGCUAAUCCCGCAUGUGCUUGCGCUUUAUGGAGUGUAAGUAAAGAUUGAUCGUUUCGGGAUGGGCCCGCGGCACAUCAGCUAGUUGGUGGGGUAAAGGCCUACCAAGGCGACGACGUGUAGCCGACCUGAGAGGGUGACCGGCCACAGGGGUACUGAGACACGGACCCCACUCCUACGGGAGGCAGCAGUUAGGAAUCUUCGGCAAUGGGGGAAACCCUGACCGAGCAACACUGCAUGAGGGAUGACGGCCUUCGGGUUGUAAACCUCUGAACCAGGGACGAAAAUGACGGUACCUGGGUAAUAGCACCGACUAACUCCGUGCCAGCAGCCGCGGUAAUACGGAGGGUGCGAGCGUUAUCCGGAAUCACUGGGCGUAAAGGGCACGUAGGCGGUCUGUUAAGUCCGAUGUUAAAGCGUGGGGCUCAACCCCAUCAUGGCGUUGGAUACUGGCAGGCUUGACUUCUGGAGAGGAAAGUGGAAUUACCAGUGUAGCGGUGAAAUGCGUAGAUACUGGUAGGAACACCCAUAGCGAAGGCAGCUUUCUGGACAGAUAGUGACGCUGAGGUGCGAAAGUGUGGGGAGCAAACCGGAUUAGAUACCCCCGUAGUCC